GUAACAAGGUCUCCGUAGGUGAACCUGCGGAGGGAUCAUUACUGAGUGAGGGCCUCUGGCUCGACCUCCAACCCUUUGCGAUCGAAACCUCGUUGCCUCGGGGGUGACCCGGCCGUCAAACGUCGGGGCCCCCGGUGGACAAUUCUAAACUCUUGCGUCUUUGCGUCUGAGUCUAAAGUAAAUUAAUCAAAACUUUUAACAACGGAUCUCUUGGUUCUGGCAUCGAUGAAGAACGCAGCGAAAUGCGAUAAGUAAUGUGAAUUGCAGAAUUCAGUGAAUCAUCGAAUCUUUGAACGCACAUUGCGCCCUCUGGUAUUCCGGGGGGCAUGCCUGUUCGAGCGUCAUUACACCACUCAAGCCUGGCUUGGUAUUGGGCCCCGGGGGUGACCCGGACCCGAAUGUUCGCCGGCUGGACGACCUAGAUCUCAUCGUUGUGGCAAACAAAUUCGCUGGCGAGACGGGACGGCCACGCCGUUAAAACCAUCAUUCAAGGUUGACCUCGGAUCAGGUAGGGAUACCCGCUGAACUUAAGCAUAUCAAUAAGCGGAGGAAAAGAAACCAACAGGGAUUGCCCUAGUAACGGCGAGUGAAGCGGCAACAGCUCAAAUUUGAAAUCUGGCGCAAGCCCGAGUUGUAAUUUGUAGAGGAUGCUUCUAGGCAGCGGCCGGUCUAAGUUUCUUGGAACAGGACGUCAUAGAGGGUGAGAAUCCCGUAUGCGACCGGCUGGCACCUUAUGCGUAGCUCCUUCGACGAGUCGAGUUGUUUGGGAAUGCAGCUCUAAAUGGGAGGUAAAUUUCUUCUAAAGCUAAAUACCGGCCAGAGACCGAUAGCGCACAAGUAGAGUGAUCGAAAGAUGAAAAGCACUUUGGAAAGAGAGUUAAAAAGCACGUGAAAUUGUUAAAAGGGAAGCGCUUGCAACCAGACUUGUUAGCGGUGUUCCGCCGGUCUUCUGACCGGUCUACUCGCCGUCGACAGGCCAGCAUCGUCUGGGGCCGCCGGAUAAAGGCUUGGGGAAUGUAGCUCCCUCGGGAGUGUUAUAGCCUCUUGCACAAUACGGUGCGCCCCGGGCGAGGUCCGCGCUUCGGCUAGGAUGCUGGCGUAAUGGUCGUAAGCGGCC
RNAcentral lists this ribosomal RNA (1117 nucleotides) under uncultured fungus. RNAcentral's name for it is "eukaryotic LSU rRNA". The stretch from base 495 to 1117 matches the Rfam family "Eukaryotic large subunit ribosomal RNA", at positions 1 to 649 of the family's 3401-position model. The record is from RNAcentral. Lineage: Eukaryota; Fungi.